RNAcentral lists this long non-coding RNA (508 nucleotides) under Salmo salar (Atlantic salmon). RNAcentral describes it as "lncRNA (ENSSSAG00000104030.1)". Lineage: Eukaryota; Metazoa; Chordata; Actinopteri; Salmoniformes; Salmonidae. The record is from RNAcentral.
AGCGCAUACACCGGCACAUGCUCCGACAGCGACAGUGAAUGUUUAAAAAAAGAUGACGGGAUGAGAGGGGAAAAGAAUCUCCUGUUCACCCUAACAAUGACAGGAGGUGAAUAGAGAUGUCAUGAUCUGUGAUGCGGGUUCUAGUGUCAUACAUCUGCUGUCCCACCAAAUAGUCUGUAUUCGUCUGUUCGAUUCUAUUCUGAGGCAAUUCUCUUCUUCUGACGUUGUCUUCCACCUAUCACAGUGUUACACGGAGAUCGGCCCAUGUAUCUCUCUCACACUGAGGGCCGCUGAGAGGGUCCGUUUGACUUCAGCUGUUGAACUACAGUAUAGAAUAAGAUCCAGUGAGCAGCUCCGUUUAUAGUAUUUUAUUUUACCCAGAAUUCACUAGUGUCUAUGUUUUGUUUUUACCAUCUCUUUAAGUAAUUUUUAAUUAUUGUUUCUAUUGUAUUUUAUUUUAUUUUAUUCUAGAUUUUACUUUUAUUUGAAUAAAAUACUUCAACUGCAC